RNAcentral lists this ribosomal RNA (457 nucleotides) under uncultured bacterium. Its description in RNAcentral is "partial 16S ribosomal RNA". It matches the Rfam family "Bacterial small subunit ribosomal RNA", at positions 338 to 795 of the family's 1533-position model. The record is from RNAcentral.
CCUACGGGAGGCAGCAGUGGGGAAUAUUGCACAAUGGGGGAAACCCUGAUGCAGCGACGCCGCGUGGGUGAAGAAGGAUUUCGGUAUGGAAAGCUCUAUCAGCAGGGAAGAAAUAAAGUCCUUCGGACUUUGGACGGUACCUGACUAAGAAGCCUCGGCUAACUACGUGCCAGCAGCCGCGGUAAUACGUAGGGGUCAAGCGUUAUCCGGAUUUACUGGGUGUAAAGGGAGCGUAGACGGCAGCGCAAGUCUGGAGUGAAAUCCCAUGGCUUAACCAUGGAACUGCUUUGGAAACUGUGCAGCUGGAGUGUAGGAGAGGUAAGCGGAAUUCCUGGUGUAGCGGUGAAAUGCGUAGAUAUUAGGAGGAACACCAGUGGCGAAGGCGGCUUACUGGACUGUAACUGACGUUGAGGCUCGAAAGCGUGGGGAGCAAACAGGAUUAGAUACCCCAGUAGUC